This 363-nucleotide ribosomal RNA is filed under the name Rhinella margaritifera (mitred toad). RNAcentral describes it as "partial 16S ribosomal RNA". It matches the Rfam family "Bacterial large subunit ribosomal RNA", at positions 1967 to 2484 of the family's 2925-position model. The record is from RNAcentral. Lineage: Eukaryota; Metazoa; Chordata; Amphibia; Anura; Bufonidae.
ACUUGUUCUUUAAAUGCGGACUAGUAUGAAUGGCACUACGAGGGUUAUACUGUCUCCUUUUUCUAAUCAGUGAAACUAAUUUUCCCGUGAAGAAGCGGGGAUAUAACUAUAAGACGAGAAGACCCUAUGGAGCUUUAAACAACCCAGCAAUUACUUCUAAAAUUGUAAAUUUCAGAAUAUUCAUUUCUUAAGUAAUAUGUCUGCAAGUUUUUGGUUGGGGUGACCAUGGAGAAUAACAUAACCUCCAUAUUGAAUGAAUUCCCUUCUAAGNUGAAAAUUACCAAUUGAAGCAUCAACAUACUGACAUCUAUUGACCCAAUAUAUUUGAUCAACGAACCAAGUUACCCUAGGGAUAACAGCGCA